RNAcentral lists this non-coding RNA (39 nucleotides) under uncultured Isochrysis. Lineage: Eukaryota; Haptophyta; Isochrysidales. The record is from RNAcentral.
UUUUGCUACUUGGUACUUGGCUGUGUGGGUGUUGGAAUG